UACGUAGGGGGCUAGCGUUGUCCGGAAUCAUUGGGCGUAAAGCGCGUGUAGGCGGCCCGGUAAGUCCGCUGUGAAAGUCGGGGGCUCAACCCUCGAAAGCCGGUGGAUACUGUCGGGCUCGAGUACGGAAGAGGCGGGUGGAAUUCCUGGUGUAGCGGUGAAAUGCGCAGAUAUCAGGAGGAACACCAGUGGCGAAGGCGGCCGCCUGGCCUGUAACUGACGCUGAGGCGCGAAAGCGUGGGGAGCGAACAGG
RNAcentral lists this ribosomal RNA (253 nucleotides) under uncultured bacterium. RNAcentral describes it as "partial 16S ribosomal RNA". It matches the Rfam family "Bacterial small subunit ribosomal RNA", at positions 524 to 776 of the family's 1533-position model. The record is from RNAcentral.